AAGACUCUAGUAAAACAGAAAAUUAUACUGCUUUGUCAAAGCAGAGUUGCGGGUUAAAGCCCCACGUGUCUUG
Molecule: transfer RNA, 73 nt
Filed under: Andinoacara pulcher (blue acara)
Lineage: Eukaryota; Metazoa; Chordata; Actinopteri; Cichliformes; Cichlidae
Description: tRNA-Asp
Rfam family: tRNA
About the family: Transfer RNA (tRNA) molecules are approximately 80 nucleotides in length.
Source: RNAcentral